UCAGUACAUUUAAUUUAGCUUUACAGAUCUAAUGCAAGAGGCAUACAUAACACAGAAUCACGAUAAAUCGGAAAAAUAUCAGUUCAUAUAGUAAGAUUACUGUGAUGACAGAAAUGUCAAGAAGAACGGACCUGAUAUAGUCUUUUAAUUAGUGAAACUCAUCAGUUACAACAACUAAAUAGAAACGAUGAUUCUGGAACUGAAAUCUUCAACGUGAAAACUUCAAACAAAAGUAGCAAAAUGCCACCUUUGAUCUCAAACGACGCCCCAAUCAGAUGAACUCGAUCUGACCUCAAACUUAAUCGAAUUCAUAGUCGAAAACCAAAAAUCAUAGAAGGGAAGGUGAAAAUCUAAACCAAAACCUUAAAAAUUUCGGCCCUCUCUGCCCGAAUUCUUCUGUCCGAUUUUCUCCUCUCUCGCUCCCUGUGUAUAUGCGGUUGUGUGUGUCGAGUUCCUGGCGUGGAGGAGAUGUGGUGGGUCUUAGGUUGAAGCUUAGGGGUUGCGUCUCUUAUGAAGUGAAGAAGAAGAGCCGCUCCUGGAGGUGUCUUUCUCUUAGGGAUUUUUUAGGGAUUUUUAGGUUAAUGAAGGGUGAGGAAGAAGGGUCCAAACGGCUGGGGGUCUUCUUUUUGGUUUGUAGGGUUAGGUAAGGGUUAGUGGGUAUUGGGCUUAAUGGGCUAAUCCGAAAAUUGGGCCUAAAAAUGGAUUGUUUGAGCCCAAAUUUUGUUCUUUCUCAUUGAAUAAGACUAAAAAUACUACCUCAUUUACUAAUUAAUCCUACUUAAGUAAAAUAACUAUUAAAAUAAAACUAACCGUUAAAACAAACCUAUUUUUGGUAUUUUUCAAAUAUCAUACUAAAAGAUAAAAAUGGAAUUAGAUUAAAAUUAUUCCAAAAUUAAAAUAAUAUUCCUACCAAACUACUAAUAUUCCUGAAACAAGUGGAACUAUUUUUGUAUUUUUGAAUUUUAUAAAAGGUCGAUAAACUAAAAGUAACAAAACAAAAUAUCAAUCACCUAAAUAAAAGAAAAAUAUUUUUUUGUAAUUUUUAUUUUUGUGACAAAUAAAGUAAAAGAGUCAAAACUAGUUGAAAUAGCGAUAUUAGGCCUAAACUAAAUAUUUAAAUGCUGAAAUAUGUAGAAUCUUGGGGAGGGUCAAAAAUUACAUGUCUACAGCUGCCCCUCUUUGACUGGAAACAUGAAGAAUUUUCAGACAAAGAACGACGAGACAGGUUUUUUGACCCGACCCUUAUUUAGAGAGACCAAAAAACUAAAAGAAAGGAGAAUGUGACUGAGCCCUGGUAUCUGAGCGGCCUACAUAUCCUUGGCUAUAAAGGAAUCAGGCCACGUGUAUUUCAGAAUUAGGAAGAGGUGGAGAGCCAAUUGAGGUGUCGUCGAGGUUCCGGUCGCGGUCCUAUUAUUGCAUCAAAAUCAAAAAAUGAAAAAGAGUAACUAAGCUUGUCAGCUAUGAGUUACAAGAUUCCUAUCUAUAAGUCUUCUAAAGCUUGAUCUUGAGUCUUGAACAGUUCUUCAUGCAAACUUUGAUUUGAACCUUGAUGCUUGCUAGUUGCAGGUGUUGAUUCAUUCUUCCACGACUUCUUCGGAUCAAGACCGGACAUUUAGUGCCCGUUACUUCAGCUAUUUCUAACUUGAAUUGAAUUCUAAAAUGACUUCCCUCGUUCUCCAGGUGGGUGCUCGCUACUGACUUGAAACUUGAAAUAAUUCUUAAACGAAUUCCCUCAUUCUCCAGGUGGGUGCCUGCAAUCAAAAUAUCAAAACAAACAAAAUUUUCGGCCCCAACUUGCACUAGGAAGAUUUGUGAGUUGUUAACAAAACUGUAAAUCACUUAUGUUACUGAUGAAAUGAUAAGAGUAAACUAAAGACUCGACUAGGAUGUGCGUCUCAUGUGAGUAAAACCAAGAAAAUUUGACUAGCAAAUUCAUUAGAAUGUGUCUUCUAUCUUAGAAGAAAGAUUCAUCAGACUAAGAUUUCUAUCCUAGGAGAAAAUUCAUUAGACUAGGUCCUCUAUCUUAUUAUCUUAUGAGAAAGAUUCAUCCAACUAAGAUUUGAUCCUAGGAGAAAGUUCAUCAGACUAGGUCGUCUAUCUUAGGAGAAAGAUUCAUCAAACUAAGAUUUGAUCCUAGGAGAAAGUUCAUCAGACUAGGUCCCUUUUUGUUAACUUAAGAGAAAGAUUCAUCAGACUAAGAUUUCUAUCCUAGGAGAAAAUUCAUUAGACUAGGUGUUCUAUCUUAGGAGAAAAACUCAUCAGACUAAGAUUUCUAUCAUAGAAGAAAAUUCAUCAGACUAGGUAUUUAUUCUUUUUUUUUAUUAUCUUAGGAGAAAGAUUCAUCAGACUAAGAUUUGGUCCUAGGAGAGAGUUCAUCAUAUUAAGGCUUCUAUAUUAGGAGAAAGAUUCAUCAGACUAAGAUUUUAUCCUAGGAGAAAAUUCAUCAAACUAGGUUUUUCUAUAUUAGGAGAAAGAUUCAUCAGACUAAGAUUUCGAUCCUAGGAGAAAAUUCAUCACACUAAGUUUUCUAUCUUAGGAGAAAAAUUCAUCAGACUAAGAUUUUUAUUGGGAGGAAAAUCCAUCAGACUAGGACUUUUUAUCCUAGGAGGAAAAAUGUAAAGAGCAAUGACAACAUUUUAUGCACACUAGCAAGACAGAUAAAGACAAAGAUUUGAGAAACUUCCCUUUGUCGGCUCUUCUAUUCUUUUUUUCUUUUUCUUUUUUUUUGAACCAACUUGCUUGCACUGCUUUGUUCCUGUUUCAAACAAAGAAAACUUGUGAGUAUAAAAUAUGGUGGUGAGUUUGUGGUCUUGACUACGAGGGCGAUUUCUCUUGCACUUGUCACGAUCAACUUGGUUAUCAACUUGGAAGACAGUGCUUGCUAUCGGCCGACUGCUUUUUUGGACCGCCCUUAUCACAAGAAAUUUUCCUGAUUCGUUCAAAUCCAAUACUUUAUGCCCGAUAUAUUGCAUUCGUGUUCUAACAUUCACCAGUGCAUUUUACCUCAAUCCCAAAAACAUCUAUUACCACCAACUCAGUGCACCCACUAUUUUCAUGCGUCUUAUGCCAAUUUGAUGUGCUUGCUAGACAUCGGCUUCAUGUGAUUAAAAAGCAGGUAGCAGAUUUUGAAGUCAUUUCUCACUUGUUUCGACAAAAACAGACUCAAAAGGGACCCAACAAAACAAGAGGAACAAGAUAAGGAGACAAACGAGAAGAGAUGGUAUCUAACAAGCAAAAAACUUUUACCCAGAAAAAAGAACAAAGUCGGAACUAAUAUGAUUUGAAGGCCAUCUCCACUGACCAUGACAUGCAUUUUGGAUUAAGCGGUCUGAUCUGUCAAGCGAGUCUAAUCUUUAACUCUUGUUAUGCCUCUAAGUUGUGAAACUGGACUUCAACGCUCCAAUUGUCCUAUUUGAUCUACACUCCUCAGUCGACUUGUAGUGCCCUGAAGGGUUUUCACCAUCAAGCCUCUCUUAUUUUUCUCUUUUUCUCAACUCACCGUCGCCUCACGGUGCCCAUGAGGGUUUUCACCGAUAAGACUCUCUCAUUUUAUCAUUUUCUCUCUUUGUACUGCGAAAAAGGUAUUACCCAUAAUGCAGGAAGAUCACACUUUUACCAUACACUUGAUUUGGCAUCCUCAAAGAUUGGUCGGAAGGUCUUUCUUUGGACCGUAAUGUAGGCUUUCGGACAUGGUUGGAAAGAAAGGGUGGCGUGAAGGCUCAAAAUAAUUUAAGAUGAAAGGAUUCAAAAUUACAACUUUUGGAAUCAGGUCUUUUAGCCAAAUUAAAACUUCUGGCCCGGUUUCUUGGAAUUUGGGGAUUUUUUUUAUUUUAUUUUUUUGCUUUUUGUUUGGAUUUUUCCUUUGUUGGGAUUUCAAAUAAAGGCUGCCUCACUCUUGACUUCGUGGGAUUAUAAAGUAUUUUAUUUGGUGUGACCAAACCGUAAGGCUGCCUACGUAUCUUGAGGUGACAAGAAUCAGGUCGAACGUAGUUCAAACACAAAGUUGGUUUUUUUCUUUUCUUUUUCUUAUUUUUCUCUUUUCUUUUCUUUUUCUUCUUUUUCUUUUUUAGUUCCUAACUCUACUUCUGAUUCCAAAAGAGAGGUAUGGAACAAAACAAAUUAAGACUCAAAAGGCGUAGCAAAAAAUAAAAGUGUUUGGGUAGCAGAAUAAAAUACCUUCGUCAUACCAAACUUUAAAAAUGCCAAGUACAAACAUGAAAUUGAAGAUAAUCAAAGAAAUCAUACACAGUAUCUAUUGAUGGCAUCAACACAAACACAAAGUGUCGACGGACAAUAUCUUUGUCCUAAUGAAUUAUCCUUGCUAGUUCGAAGCAGACUUGAUUCAAACUUAUCUUGAUGUGGAAGAAUGCAUUUUAGCACUGACUGAUCUACCUCAAACUGCUUGAGAGACAUUCUCUUGUUGUAUGCUCUCAUAAACUUCUUGAAUUUCCAGACUAACUGCCUCAGUUUCAUUCAAUUCAAGCUUCAGGUUAUCUCAGAAUGCGUGAAUCUUUACUUAUUUCCUCAAAUGCCUCCUUUUUAUCAUAUUCAAAACUAUGUCAUUGCUUCAUGAUUAGACUGAUUUUCAAGACCAAGCUGAGAAUUAUGCGUGCAUGUUAUGUCACCAGAGUUAGCAUGAAAAGAACUAUAAAAGGAAAGGUGACCUAAACAAAAACUGACUACAACUAACAGAAAACAAGAGAUUGCAUUAGACAGAUGGUGAAAAAGGGUUUGAACAAAACAAGCAAAAUAGACAUAGGUUACAACCCUGGAACAAUCCUAAAUAACACUAGACGAGUUACUACAACUAAACAAACUAGACAAAAUAAGAAAAAGAAGAAGAAGAAGAGUUUGAGCCACAAGACAAUUUUCGGAUUACAACCCCGAAAUAACCCGGACAACAGAAAUGACAACAAAAUAAACCAGUAAAACUCCUUGGCUAGCCAAGAAAGGAGUGUCUUCCCAAUCACCAAACUCGACAUCUUAACCACUGAGUUCCAUAUCAAUAUUACUAGGACCUUCACCAACUUCAAUCAAAUUGUCUUCACCAAGUGGCUCAUUGACUCCUUUGACCAACCCUUCGUCAUUGCAAACCAUCCCAACAAUUUGUGCAUUGUCAUGUACCUGUAGAGGAUUAUGUGUGAUACUUAGGAUAUUACUGCCUUGGACCACAAUUAUCCCUUCUUGAAUCAUUAUUUCUAUUUCUUUUUUCAAGGCACGAUGACCUUCAACAUUGUUCCCCUGGGCAUUGGAAUGGUAUUCACACCUUUUAGAAGGGUCAGAGCUUCUUGCAUGUGGGUCCACAUGAUUUGGAGAAAUAGGUGAAAUCAUGUCAUAAUGCUUUAAUUUCUCAAACAAGCUUGCAUAGGACUCUCCUAUCAGUGUAAAUUUUUCUUUCAACCUUUGUUUACCUCUAUACCCCUGACGUGGAUGUGGCUUAUGGGGCACUUGAAAAUUUUUUGGAGGCUGGUGGAGAUUUUGCGGUGCUGGCGCUCGCCUUCUGGGGUGUCUUGGUGGCUGGACAACAUACUGGAGUGGAGCAACAUAGUAUUGUGUGUUCUUAGGGGAAUCUUCAAAAAACAAACGAGGCUGGUCAUGCCUUCGAGAUGUUCUUCUAGGACAUCUUCUCGACCCUGAUGUCAUCAUGAUUUCUUCAACCUUCUCAUUCGUGCCACUAAAAUUACCAGAUUCAAUUGGGACAGCCUGAGUUGCAGCUUUGAGAGCUGCUUGACUUAUAAUUUUGCCUGUUUUAAGGCCAUUCUCUACCAUUUCUCCCAUUUUGAUUGCUUCUGAUAAUGAAUUGCCAACUGCAAACAUCAUGUUUGAAAGUAAUCGGGCUCUUGAUCCUGAAGGAAGAUAGUGAUUAGCUCAUGGUCAUCCAUGGGUGGCUUAACUCUAACUACUUGUUCUCUCCAUUUAAUGGCAUAUUCCCUGAUACUUUCAGUUGGUUUCUUCUUCAGGUUUGAAAGGGAAUUGCGGUCUGGGGAAAUGUCGAUGUUAUAUUGAAACUGUUUGACAAAGGCCUGGGCCAUGUCAUCCUAUACAUACCAGCAAGAUGUGUCUUGACCCAUAAACCAUUCGGAGGCUACACCUAUAAGGCUUUCCCCAAAAUAAGCCAUCAGUAAUUCUUCAUUUCCUCCCGCACCUCUUAGUUGAUUGNNNNNNNNNNNNNNNNNNNNNNNNNNNNNNNNNNNNNNNNNNNNNNNNNNNNNNNNNNNNNNNNNNNNNNNNNNNNNNNNNNNNNNNNNNNNNNNNNNNNNNNNNNNNNNNNNNNNNNNNNNNNNNNNNNNNNNNNNNNNNNNNNNNNNNNNNNNNNNNNNNNNNNNNNNNNNNNNNNNNNNNNNNNNNNNNNNNNNNNNNNNNNNNNNNNNNNNNNNNNNNNNNNNNNNNNNNNNNNNNNNNNNNNNNNNNNNNNNNNNNNNNNNNNNNNNNNNNNNNNNNNNNNNNNNNNNNNNNNNNNNNNNNNNNNNNNNNNNNNNNNNNNNNNNNNNNNNNNNNNNNNNNNNNNNNNNNNNNNNNNNNNNNNNNNNNNNNNNNNNNNNNNNNNNNNNNNNNNNNNNNNNNNNNNNNNNNNNNNNNNNNNNNNNNNNNNNNNNNNNNNNNNNNNNNNNNNNNNNNNNNNNNNNNNNNNNNNNNNNNNNNNNNNNNNNNNNNNNNNNNNNNNNNNNNNNNNNNNNNNNNNNNNNNNNNNNNNNNNNNNNNNNNNNNNNNNNNNNNNNNNNNNNNGGCAAAUGAACAUCGGGGAACAUACAUAGAUCCUUGAAGGCAAUACUUUUCUGACCUGCCAGUCCUUGUAUGUUUUUCAACUGUUGUUCUAAGCUUUUCAGUCUUUGGGUUACUUCUUCCAGUGCUAUCUUUCGGGUAGGCAUCUCAAUCUUUGCAGGAAGAUCAAAUAGGUAAGAGUGGUACUCAUGAGAGUGGUAUUGUUGUUGGGUAGCAAAUUGUAACUCAUGAGUUUUCCUCUGCACCACUGUAGGCUGUGGGAUGGUGAAGACAAGCAUAACUGUAGUGGUUGUAUGAUUGGUUGUCAAAGGCACACUUUGGGAGUGCGCAGCAGAAGUUCCAGCUAUAGUCAUACAAUUAGGAUAAAGGCUGAACCUAAAUGGAUAGAAUUGAUCAGACAAUGAAUCGGACUGGUAGUAGUCGAGAUGGAUGUAAACUCUGGGAAAACAUAAGAAAGGGGUGGUCCUUAACCAUUGGCCCAUACUGGACACAUUUAAGACAUUUGUUGUUCCAGCCUUUGGACCUCCUCUUUCGAUUCAGAUUCCGAUUCCACAAUCUCCCUCGAAGGGUCAACAACUCUUGUGUCCAAGUCUUUGCUAGCCAUGGCUACCUUGCUCUUUGACCUUGUGUUGUACAGAUGACUCGCCAAAGUUCCACAAACUAACCACCCUCUGUUAUGAUAAUAAUGAAAGUAACAAAGGGGAGCAAAACAAAGCCAACAUAUUAGCGUUAGGGCAUUUAUCAGAUAGAAAUAUCAUAUUGCAUGCAAUACCCCUAGCAACAAUUAACGGUUCUAGAAUGACUUCGAGGGUUACAAUGUCAUUUGGCAUCAUCUCAAUGUUGUUCAUUUCAAUUUUCUCUUUUCUUUCUUUUCUAGUACUUCUUGGCUCUCUCAUUUUCCUCUCUCUUUUUCUUUUUAAUUGUCACUCUUUUCCUUCCUCUCACUUCUCACAUUCACAAUUUCAUCUUCUUUUUUUCUCUUUUUUUAGCCUUUUAAAAAAAUGAUUCGAUCGAACCCUAUGUAGGUUGUCUACGUAUCAUGUCCCUCAUGAAUCAGAUCAAAUGUAGUUCUAAAAAAGUAAUGGACAAAAUAAACUAAGAAACAAAAAUCUUUUUGAAUUUUUCAUUUUUAAUUUUUUUUGGUUUUUCAAAUACAAAAUAGAAUUUACGAUAAUGAAAGACUCAAAAAACUCAAAUAGACUAUGAUAGUCUCUGACAUCACCUAAAAGACCCAGUACUACAGGACAGGAUUACAAAGGGAAAGACAAACAUAAAAACAGACUCAAAACAUAAAAAGGCUCUUUAAGCAGCUCCUGAAUGCAAUAGUCCUGGGGUAUCUGUCAUGCUCGAGUACUAGUACAUGGAUACACACCUGAAUGAGAAAAAUAAGACCAAAUAGAUUAGUGACUCAAGACAUUAUGGAACCUCCUAUUGACACAUGCAAGAAAUGAUUGGUCUAUUUUUGCAAAAUGGCAUAUGUGGCCAAAAGUGACUAUUAGUGCUAACUCAAAAUAAAGGUGACCUCAAAGACAAUGAAAAUACCUCACUAAGACUUAUAUGGAUUCAAACUCCCGAUAAUCAUGACCCAAAAUUAAUUUGCAGAAAUAACUCAUUCUGGCAAAAAUGACCAAUAUGGCCAAAAGUGGAUAAAGAUGCAAACUCAAAAAGGAUGAACCUUAAAGUAAUAUGACACCUAGUUGUGGACUCAAGAACCUAAGACAUGGGUCAUUGAACCACUUUUGCAAAAAUGACCCCAUUUUGCAAGAAUGACCGAUGUGGCCAAAAGUGACUAGACAUGCAAAUUCAACAGGAAUGGGCCUUGAAGUAAGGAGACAGCUAAUUGUGGAUUCUAGACUCUCCAAAUUCGAUUCAACAAGCCACUUCGCAAAAUAGCUCUAAUUUGCGACAAGACCGAUAUGGCCAAAAGUGGCUAGACAUGUAAGAUUUGGCUAAGACCCUACGAAGCCAAGAACCUAAGACUUACUAUGAAGACCGGACCCUAUGUGGGCUGCCUACGUAUCCCGCCCUGAAAGACGAGAAUCAGGUAUGCGUAGUUCAGGAAGAUUGAAUACAGAAAGUAAUUAAAAAAAACUGAUUUGGAGAAAACAUAUUUUUUUUGUUUUUCUUUUGUUUUUUGUUUUUUGUUUUUUGUGAAAUAUGUAAAAUCUUUUUGGAUUUUCUUUUCUCUUUUUUUUUUGAAAAAUGAUGGGAAAGUGCAAAAUCUUUUUGGAUUUUUCAUUUUCAUUUUUUGUCUUUUUCUUGAAAAAAAUUGUGAAAGAAAAAUAUAAUUGGGCUUUACUUGUUUCAUCUUUAUACUUCACCCUCUUUCCCAAACAUCAGUCCGCCAAAUGACCUCCUACCCUGAAAGAUGCAACAUGUAUCACAUAAGAAUGAUUGAAUGUCUUUUUGGGUCACGAGCCCAUUUUGACAAAAUUUGGAUAGGCCUCCUACAGAGGGACACGGUACCUGGGACCGAACCCUGCUAAGUGUAAAUGACAUGAUGCAAAUAAGCAUGACCUAAAGGCUGACCUAAGUUUGGGGUUCACUAGACAAGGCAAUUCGGGGCGACACGUGGUCGAUGGCGGUUGGUCUAACUGUCCGUCCACUCCCACGCCACCCCCUAAAGACACGGGUAACUCACAAAAAGGUCAUGUAUGCUCAAACGUACUCCGGAAGACUUGUUACAGAAAAAGACCCAUGGUUAUGUAGAUGAUGACAAUUAUAAAGCGGUAAACACAUAAGGAAAAGCAUAAACAAAUAACCAACAAAACAGCAAAUAAGACAAACAAACCAAAUAGACAAAGCAAAUAAAAAAAAUAAACACCUCAACCGAAUAUCCUAAAAGUCAACAAGAUCAAGUAUCAGCUCGAACCUGCAACUCCCCAGCAGAGUCGUCAAAGCUGUCAAACCCCUUUUUCACAAACCUCACUAACCCUCUUUAAAUCAAUAAAAAGAUUUUUGAAGCUCAAAAGGGUUUUCAAACUUGAAAAGUGACAAAGAAUUGUGUUCAAAAGGAUUAACUCAGAGUCGCCACCUAACAUUGGUUUCGGUGUGCUAGGUCACCGUAUUUUUUAAAAAUGAUUUUUCCUUUUAAAACACUUUGGACUCUAAAACUAAGUCUGCACCAUAGAUUCAGGUAAGGGAGUACAAUUGACUCGGGGAGAAGGUAUUAGGCAUUCCCCGAGUUCCGUAACUAGUAUGGUUGCAUACAUGAUCAAGUUGGCAUUCAAAAUAUUCAAACUGAGAUAAAAAACACAGAGAAGGGAAAAUAAACACACAAGAGGCUCGAGGUCAUCUCCACCUAAAAAAGGAGGUAAAAAUUAAAUAAAAUAAGAAUAAAAAGUACUACGAGUUCGCUUUCGGCCUCCAAUUACAGAAUACUACGGGGCAUUCCCCGGAAUAAAAUAUAUACAAAUCCUUUGGGGCAUUCCCUGGAUAAAUUUAACUAAGGGAACGACCUCUCACCUCAAAACUAACAAAAAUCCUAAGGCUUGCCUACCCAAGUGUGUUCGGCCUAAACAUACUCCUAUCAAAGAAAUAAAAAUGAAAUAGUGAACAUGUAAAACUCAAAUCUCAGUUGUUUUUUACUUAAGAUCCCAAAAAUAUGUCCCCAUACAAAAUCACGUCUUUCUAAAGUAUCUUCAUGUCAAUUAACAGAAUGGACAAGAAAAUUAAUGAAAACAUUUAGAGCAAUCAUGAGGAAUUGAAAAGCAACAUACAUUGAAUUAACAAAAAAUUACAAUGAGAUCAAACCCCUAAACAAAAUAAAUACUCCAGCACUAAAAUUCUUGUUUUCAUGAUUCUUAUGAAAGAAAGCAAUAGCAUACUGCUACACUUUAUCGGAAAACAAAAAUGAGUGAUCCUAACAAUUCAUAUUAGUCGCGGCGUGAUGGCGCCUUGUUAAAAUUAAAGCUAGCAGGAAGCACCCAAGACUAACUAGAGGCAUGAGUCACGGAUUCCAAUUUAGAGCACAUGAAACUUACACAUGAAAUUGAAAUGAGCCUAAUAGUUCAAUCGAAAUUUAAGCUAAAAGCUAAAGAAAUCAGUAAAUGAAAUGUCAAACAAACUAUGAGAUCAAAGAACCAAUCUACAUAUUUAGAACCUACGCCAAAUUUGUUAUUUGUAAUUGAAACUAAUCAAACUACAAUAAGGGAGAAAAUCAAUAGUAGAAAAAUUAGCUAUGCCAAGAAGUCAUGCUGAUUGCUGCAAUUUCAGUACAUUUAAUUUAGCUUUACAGAUCUAAUGCAAGAGGCAUACAUAACACAGAAUCACGAUAAAUCAGAAAAAUAUCAGUUCAUAUAGUAAGAUUACUGUGAUGACAAAUAUGUCAAGAAGAACGGACCUGAGAUAGUCUUUUAAUUAGUGAAACUCAUCAGUUACAACAACUAAAUAGAAAUGAUGAUUCUGGAAUUGAAACCUUCAACGUGAAAACUUCAAACAAAAGCAGCGAAAUGCCACCUUUGACCUCAAACAAUGCCCCAAUCAGAUGAACUCGAUCUGACCUCAAACUUAAUCGAAUUCAUAGUCGAAAACCAAAAAUCAUAGAAGGAAAGGUGAAAAUCUAAACCAAAACCUUGAAAAUAUCGGCCCUCUCUGCCCGAAUUCUUCUGUCCGAUUUUCUCCUCUCUCGCUCCCUGUGUAUAUGCGGCUGUGUGUGUCGAGUUCCUGGCGUGGAGGAGAUGUGGUGGGUCUUAGGUUGAAGCUUAGGGUUGCGGCUCUUAUGAAGUGAAGAAGAAGAGCCGCUCCUGGAGGUGUCUUUCUCUUAGGGAUUUUUUUAGGGGUUUUUGGGUUAGUGAAGGGUGAGGAAGAAGUCCAAACGGCU
RNAcentral lists this long non-coding RNA (11545 nucleotides) under Nicotiana tabacum (common tobacco). Its description in RNAcentral is "long non-coding RNA (NTAB_LNC011416)". The record is from RNAcentral. Lineage: Eukaryota; Viridiplantae; Streptophyta; Magnoliopsida; Solanales; Solanaceae.